GACGAACGCUGGCGGCGUGCUUAACACAUGCAAGUCGAACGGAAAGGCCCUGCUUGUGUGGGGUGCUCGAUUGGCGAACGGGUGAGUAACACGUGAGUAACCUGCCCUUGACUUUGGGAUAACUUCAGGAAACUGGGGCUAAUACCGGAUAGGAGCUCCUGCUGCAGGGUGGGGGUUGGAAAGUUUCGGCGGUUGGGGAUGGACUCGCGGCUUAUCAGCUUGUUGGUUGGGGAGUGGCUUACCAAGGCUUUGACGGGUAGCCGGCCUGAGAGGGUGACCGGCCACAUUGCGCCUGAGAUACGGACCAGACUCCUACGGGAGGCAGCAGGGGGGAAUCUUGCCCAAUGGGAGGACGCCUGAUGAAGGAACGCUGCGUGCGGGAUGACGGCCUUCGGGUUGUAAACAGCUUUAGCCUGUGACGACGCGUGAGUGACGGUACUGGGUAAAGAAGCACCGGCUAACUACGUG
Molecule: ribosomal RNA, 468 nt
Filed under: uncultured bacterium
Lineage: Bacteria
Description: partial 16S ribosomal RNA
Rfam family: Bacterial small subunit ribosomal RNA
Source: RNAcentral